AGCAGCCGCGGUAAUUCCAGCUCCAAUAGCGUAUAUUAAAGUUGUUGCAGUUAAAAAGCUCGUAGUUGAAUUUCGGGAUCAAUAUGUUGGUCGUGCCUUGGUACGUACUGGCGUCAUUGAUUUCUACCUUCUGAAGAACCUCGAUGUCAUUAAUUUGGUGUCUUGGGGGAAUCAGGACUGUUACUUUGAAAAAAUUAGAGUGUUUAAAGCAAGCUCACGCUUGAAUACAUUAGCAUGGAAUAAUGAAAUAGGACGUUUGAUUCUAUUUUGUUGGUUUCUAGGAUCGACGUAAUGAUUAAUAGGGAUAGUUGGGGGCAUUAGUAUUCAAUUGUCAGAGGUGAAAUUCUUGGAUUUAUUGAAGACUAACUACUGCGAAAGCAUUUGCCAAGGAUGUUUUCAUUAAUCAAGAACGAAAGUUAGGGGAUCGAAGACGAUCAGAUACCGUCGUAGUCUUAACCAUAAACUAUGCCGACUAGGGAUCGGAUGAUGUUAAUUUUUUAAUGACUCAUUCGGCGCCUUA
This 520-nucleotide ribosomal RNA is filed under the name uncultured Glomus. RNAcentral's name for it is "SSU rRNA". It matches the Rfam family "Eukaryotic small subunit ribosomal RNA", at positions 569 to 1090 of the family's 1831-position model. Lineage: Eukaryota; Fungi; Glomeromycota; Glomeromycetes; Glomerales; Glomeraceae. The record is from RNAcentral.